This 227-nucleotide long non-coding RNA is filed under the name Hordeum vulgare. RNAcentral describes it as "long non-coding RNA (HVUL_LNC007291)". The record is from RNAcentral. Lineage: Eukaryota; Viridiplantae; Streptophyta; Magnoliopsida; Poales; Poaceae.
UUAAUAUUAAACAUAGUAGAGUAGAGGUCGCUCUACAAAUUAUUACAACAUGUCCAAAGUCUCACACGGACGGAUAUGUUAUAGUGGUCAUGGGAUAACUCUACUGCUCGUAAUAAAGAGGGCAUGUCACAUCAGAGUGAAGUGACAUGAAAAGUACUACUACGCGCCAAGCGUCAGAGUGAGGCUUUACGAUUUAUUCGUGGUGGCGGAAGCAGUGAAAUAAUACA